AUUGAACGCUGGCGGCAGGCCUAACACAUGCAAGUCGAACGGUAACAGGAAGCAGCUUGCUGCUUCGCUGACGAGUGGCGGACGGGUGAGUAAUGUCUGGGAAACUGCCUGAUGGAGGGGGAUAACUACUGGAAACGGUAGCUAAUACCGCAUAACGUCGCAAGACCAAAGAGGGGGACCUUCGGGCCUCUUGCCAUCAGAUGUGCCCAGAUGGGAUUAGCUUGUUGGUGGGGUAACGGCUCACCAAGGCGACGAUCCCUAGCUGGUCUGAGAGGAUGACCAGCCACACUGGAACUGAGACACGGUCCAGACUCCUAUGGGAGGCAGCAGUGGGGAAUAUUGCACAAUGGGCGCAAGCCUGAUGCAGCCAUGCCGCGUGUAUGAAGAAGGCCUUCGGGUUGUAAAGUACUUUCAGCGGGGAGGAAGGUGUUGUGGUUAAUAACCACAGCAAUUGACGUUACCCGCAGAAGAAGCACCGGCUAACUCCGUGCCAGCAGCCGCGGUAAUACGGAGGGUGCAAGCGUUAAUCGGAAUUACUGGGCGUAAAGCGCACGCAGGCGGUCUGUUAAGUCAGAUGUGAAAUCCCCGGGCUCAACCUGGGAACUGCAUCUGAUACUGGCAGGCUUGAGUCUCGUAGAGGGGGGUAGAAUUCCAGGUGUAGCGGUGAAAUGCGUAGAGAUCUGGAGGAAUACCGGUGGCGAAGGCGGCCCCCUGGACGAAGACUGACGCUCAGGUGCGAAAGCGUGGGGGAGCAAACAGGAUUAGAUACCCUGGUAGUCCACGCCGUAAACGAUGUCGACUUGGAGGUUGUGCCCUUGAGGCGUGGCUUCCGGAGCUAACGCGUUAAGUCGACCGCCUGGGGAGUACGGCCGCAAGGUUAAAACUCAAAUGAAUUGACGGGGGCCCGCACAAGCGGUGGAGCAUGUGGUUUAAUUCGAUGCAACGCGAAGAACCUUACCUGGUCUUGACAUCCACGGAAGUUUUCAGAGAUGAGAAUGUGCCUUCGGGAACCGUGAGACAGGUGCUGCAUGGCUGUCGUCAGCUCGUGUUGUGAAAUGUUGGGUUAAGUCCCGCAACGAGCGCAACCCUUAUCCUUUGUUGCCAGCGGUUAGGCCGGGAACUCAAAGGAGACUGCCAGUGAUAAACUGGAGGAAGGUGGGGAUGACGUCAAGUCAUCAUGGCCCUUACGACCAGGGCUACACACGUGCUACAAUGGCAUAUACAAAGAGAAGCGACCUCGCGAGAGCAAGCGGACCUCAUAAAGUAUGUCGUAGUCCGGAUUGGAGUCUGCAACUCGACUCCAUGAAGUCGGAAUCGCUAGUAAUCGUGGAUCAGAAUGCCACGGUGAAUACGUUCCCGGGCCU
Molecule: ribosomal RNA, 1364 nt
Filed under: uncultured bacterium
Lineage: Bacteria
Description: bacterial SSU rRNA
Rfam family: Bacterial small subunit ribosomal RNA
Source: RNAcentral